RNAcentral lists this ribosomal RNA (253 nucleotides) under uncultured bacterium. RNAcentral's name for it is "partial 16S ribosomal RNA". It matches the Rfam family "Bacterial small subunit ribosomal RNA", at positions 524 to 776 of the family's 1533-position model. The record is from RNAcentral.
UACGUAGGGCGCAAGCGUUGUCCGGAAUUAUUGGGCGUAAAGAGCUCGUAGGCGGUUUGUCGCGUCUGCUGUGAAAACCUAAGGCUCAACCUUGGGCUUGCAGUGGGUACGGGCAGACUAGAGUGCGGUAGGGGUGACUGGAAUUCCUGGUGUAGCGGUGAAAUGCGUAGAUAUCGAGAGGAACACCUGCGGCGAAGGCGGGUAGCUGGGCCGACACUGACGCUGAGGCGCGAAAGCCAGGGGAGCGAACGGG